UACAGAGGGGGCAAGCGUUAUUCGGAAUUAUUGGGCGUAAAGGGCGCGUAGGCGGCCUUCUAAGUCGGACGUGAAAUCCCAGGCUAACUUGGAACUGCGUCCGAUACUGGAGGGCUUGAAUGCGGGAGAGGGAUGUGGAAUUCCAGGUGUAGCGGUGAAAUGCGUAGAUAUCUGGAGGAACACCGGUGGCGAAGGCGGCAUCCUGGACCGACAUUGACGCUGAGGCGCGAAAGCUAGGGGGA
RNAcentral lists this ribosomal RNA (242 nucleotides) under uncultured bacterium. Its description in RNAcentral is "partial 16S ribosomal RNA". It matches the Rfam family "Bacterial small subunit ribosomal RNA", at positions 524 to 768 of the family's 1533-position model. The record is from RNAcentral.